RNAcentral lists this ribosomal RNA (527 nucleotides) under uncultured Methylobacter sp. RNAcentral's name for it is "bacterial SSU rRNA". It matches the Rfam family "Bacterial small subunit ribosomal RNA", at positions 979 to 1504 of the family's 1533-position model. The record is from RNAcentral. Lineage: Bacteria; Pseudomonadati; Pseudomonadota; Gammaproteobacteria; Methylococcales; Methylococcaceae.
UUUUUCUAGAGUGAUUCUCGCACAGAUAUGCGAUAGUUCNAAAAGGAGCUCAUGACACAGGUGCUGCAUGGCUGUCGUCAGCUCGUGUCGUGAGAUGUUGGGUUAAGUCCCGUAACGAGCGCAACCCUAGUUCUUAUUUACCAGCGGGUAAUGCCGGGGACUAUAAGGAGGCUGCCAGUGAUAAGCUGGAGGAAGGUUAGGACGACGUCAAGUCAUCAUGGCCCUUACGAGUAGGGCUACACACGUGCUACAAUGGGCGUUACAAUUGGAGGCGAAGCCGCGAGGUGGAGCAAAUCUAUUAAAGGCGCUCGUAGUCCGGAUUGAAGUCUGCAACUUGACUUCAUGAAGCUGGAAUCGCUAGUAAUCGUGAAUCAGAAUGUCACGGUGAAUACGUUCUCGGGCCUUGUACACACCGCCCGUCAAGUCAUGGGAGUGGAUUGUACCAGAAGUGGUUAGACUAACCGAGAGGAGGUCGAUUACUACGGUGUGAUUCAUGACUGGGACUAAGUCGUAACAAGGUAGCCGUA